UUAUUUUGUAUAUACUAAAAAAUAUAUUUUAUUUUUCUUUUUAUAUCAAUGAAUUGUUCAUGGAUUAACAGAAAUGUGCAAAAUCUCUUAUUAAUAUAACAUUUGAAUAAACUAAUUGUUAGCUCUUUUUUUAAUGAAACCGUGCAUUAUACGGGUGCAGGCCCGGUGGUGGCCUUGUGCAACCUGGUCAACAGCACAGGGCCACCAAAAAAAAGGGCCCAUUUUCAAAGCCCUAACAUACAAUUAUAUAUAUAAAAAAAAAUGAAUGCCUGCUAUUCUGCGAAUUCAUCGGUUCAACUUCCGACGCUUUCCUUUCUCAAGAAUUCAACUCUCCAUUCAUCUCCCUUGAAUUACUCAUUGUUUCCAAUAUUAUCCUAAAUUUCCAAUUUCAAUAAUCUUGUUUUCAACCCUUCCAUAUUCUAAUCAUCAAUUUGUAUUAAUCACUCUUAAAUUUCAAUGGAAGAAUCGAAAAAUUCAUGUGAUUUUUCAUUUGAUAAUUUGGAUGAUUGAAUUCUCUAUUUGCUUAGAAUUGGAAAGGGGUGAGAUUUGGGGAUUUGUUGGAGAUGAAGAACCAAAAUCGCAGAGGCACAGCUAAAGAUUAGGAGCCCUAAAGAUGAGGAGCAGAUAUUGAUUUUUCAUCCGGAAGUUAUUGUUCAAUCGGCUAAAAAUCACCAUGUUACAUCGGUCCGUCUUUUACUUUCAAGUACAUUUUAUUACGGAGUAUUAUGUAUUUUAUUUUUCGUUAAAUAGUUUUUAGAAUGUUACCUUAGUUUCUUGUAAUAUGGCUUCUAAACGAAAGCAUAAAGAAGUGAAUGUCAAUAUUUCUCAAUUUUUGGAUUUUGAUUAUCA
This is a long non-coding RNA of Spinacia oleracea (spinach), 849 nucleotides long. RefSeq lists it as uncharacterized. The record is from RefSeq and is a predicted model, not a curated record. The transcript is spliced from 2 exons. Lineage: Eukaryota; Viridiplantae; Streptophyta; Magnoliopsida; Caryophyllales; Amaranthaceae.